UAGAACUGAGUCAGAUUAAAGCAAACGGCCAAAAACAAGGACAAAGUCCAAGCUGUCCAAAAGAAAGACUCAGGAGACAAGACAGAAAUUUUGGUGAUUGGGGGAUUACUCACCAGAAGACAUUGAUGAACAUUUCAUUUCAUUGAGGAACACAUUGAUCAACAUUUCAGCAGAGAAACCAAAUUUCUGAAGACUUGGCAUCUCAAGGAAGACUCUUUUGAAGUCAAUUUCCCUGACCCUGGAUCCACAGAGCCACCUGCAGAUGUCACACUGAAACUUUGCUGUUGACACACCACCUGUUUUUCCUUGUUCUCCCUCGGUUUUUGCUUUCAUCAAGAAAAUUCUUCAAACAGCUGGGUGAUGCCAAUACAUGGAGCCCGCUGGGAAGUACAUUCUUGUUCCACACUAGAAAACCAGACUUAAUUAGUCAGUCACAUUUAGAGUACUUUUUCUUCUCCAUGACAACUCUAAUCACGUUAGCCAUAUUUGAACUGGAAAAUAGCAGUGUUUUCAGCCCCACAUGAUGAACACAAAUUUAUGUUUAAAUACAAAUAUUAGAGAAAGACAAAUAGGUUGACAUAAUUAUGUGGUUGAUUCUCCUGUGGCUAGAAAAAAAAACAAAUGUGCCACCUCAUCACCUCAGUCUUCCUCACUGAGACCUGUUAUCUAGAAAGGGGAUAUUCUAGGGGAUCACAAUGGCGAAUUAGUGAGUUUGGGGAUUAUUCUUUUGUUUUGCUUUCUUUUUUCACUCAGGAAGAGUGACUAAAACCACGUGGCUAUUUUUAUGUCAUGACUUAAAUACAUCUUCAUCGCCAAGCAUUGAAAUUUCACUAUCACUGUGUUCCUU
This 847-nucleotide long non-coding RNA is filed under the name Pan troglodytes (chimpanzee). RNAcentral's name for it is "long non-coding RNA NONPTRT012763". The record is from RNAcentral. Lineage: Eukaryota; Metazoa; Chordata; Mammalia; Primates; Hominidae.